RNAcentral lists this ribosomal RNA (468 nucleotides) under uncultured bacterium. RNAcentral describes it as "partial 16S ribosomal RNA". It matches the Rfam family "Bacterial small subunit ribosomal RNA", at positions 28 to 507 of the family's 1533-position model. The record is from RNAcentral.
GACGAACGCUGGCGGCGUGCUUAACACAUGCAAGUCGAACGGAAAGGCCCUGCUUUUGUGGGGUGCUCGAGUGGCGAACGGGUGAGUAACACGUGAGUAACCUGCCCUUGACUUUGGGAUAACUUCAGGAAACUGGGGCUAAUACCGGAUAGGAGCUCCUGCUGCAUGGUGGGGGUUGGAAAGUUUCGGCGGUUGGGGAUGGACUCGCGGCUUAUCAGCUUGUUGGUGGGGUAGUGGCUUACCAAGGCUUUGACGGGUAGCCGGCCUGAGAGGGUGACCGGCGACAUUGGGACUGAGAUACGGACCAGACUCCUACGGGAGGCAGCAGUGGGGAAUAUUGCACAAUGGGCGGAAGCCUGAUGCAGCAACGCCGCGUGCGGGAUGACGGCCUUCGGGUUGUAAACAGCUUUGGACUGUGACGAAGAGUGAGUGACGGUAAUGGGUAAAGAAGCACCGGCUAACUACGUG